RNAcentral lists this transfer RNA (120 nucleotides) under Streptomyces pristinaespiralis. RNAcentral's name for it is "tRNA-OTHER". The record is from RNAcentral. Lineage: Bacteria; Bacillati; Actinomycetota; Actinomycetes; Kitasatosporales; Streptomycetaceae.
GGGGCCGUGGCAGAGCGGCCCAUUGCGAUCGGCGUGGGGGAGGCCCUUCCCACGCCGACUGACGGGGUGAGGGGCGGGCCUGCCCCUCCCCGUCCGCGGGUUCGAAUCCCGCCGGCUCCG